This 254-nucleotide ribosomal RNA is filed under the name uncultured bacterium. RNAcentral's name for it is "partial small subunit ribosomal RNA". It matches the Rfam family "Bacterial small subunit ribosomal RNA", at positions 26 to 285 of the family's 1533-position model. The record is from RNAcentral.
AGGACGAACGCUGGCGGCGUGCUUAACACAUGCAAGUCGAGCGGAAAGGCCCUUCGGGGUACUCGAGCGGCGAACGGGUGAGUAACACGUGAGUAAUCUGCCCCUAGCUCUGGGAUAGCUCCGGGAAACCGGGAUUAAUACCGGAUACGACCACUUUAGACAUCUGUUGUGGUGGAAAGAAUUUUGGCUAGGGAUGAGCUCGCGGCCUAUCAACUUGUUGGUGGGGUAAUGGCCUACCAAGGCGACGACGGGUA